RNAcentral lists this ribosomal RNA (253 nucleotides) under uncultured bacterium. RNAcentral describes it as "partial 16S ribosomal RNA". It matches the Rfam family "Bacterial small subunit ribosomal RNA", at positions 524 to 776 of the family's 1533-position model. The record is from RNAcentral.
UACAGAGGGUGCGAGCGUUGUUCGGAAUUAUUGGGCGUAAAGGGCGCGUAGGCGGGAUGGCAAGUCGGUCGUGAAAUCCCUCGGCUCAACCGAGGAACGUCGAUCGAUACUGCUGUUCUUGAGGAUUGCAGAGGAGACUGGAAUUCCCGGUGUAGCAGUGAAAUGCGUAGAUAUGCGGAGGAACACCGAUGGCGAAGGCAAUCCCCUGGGCCUGCACUGACGCUCAUGCACGAAAGCGUGGGGAGCAAACAGG